This is a long non-coding RNA of Zophobas morio, 677 nucleotides long. RefSeq lists it as uncharacterized. NCBI's taxonomy places the organism in Eukaryota, Metazoa, Arthropoda, Insecta, Coleoptera, Tenebrionidae. The transcript is spliced from 3 exons. The record is from RefSeq and is a predicted model, not a curated record.
GAAUACACUUCUAAGAACGCAUCAAAAAUGGCACCUAAAAGCUUCUCGAUGUAUUUGCUUUCCCUCAUUGUUGCAAUAAAUAUUGUUGCAAUAAUGGCCACCCACACCCAUUAUGACCCAAACAAAGUUUAUACCAUUCGUCCCGUGCAUGAUAAAACUGUGGCUCUACAUACUCGUGAUUCAUCACAAGUUCAGUUGCAAAUAUACAGUCACGGAAAAGCUUACUCGCUCUUUCAUAUUCAGCACAGCCGCGAAAAUGGAUUGUUAUUCUACCUAGUUAGUGAACCAACAGGGGAAGUAAUGGACUUUAAUAGAAGAACUAAAUCCGUUAUCAUGAGCUCAAGAAAUGGGUCUCUUAGGCAGUUGUGGUACUUGACACAUGAUAAUCGUAUUGUUAAUGCAGAUACCCACUUGGCUCUUACCCUCAGAUAUCGACAUGUUGAAAAUGGACAUCUUAAAUAUGGAACUCCGCUUAUUGUUUCUCAAAAUAACGGAAGCAUAAACCAGGAAUUUAAAAUAUGGGAAGAUUUACCUUCAUCAACCUAUUAAGGUGUUCGUCAUAUUCUGUCUUAUCCUUGUAUACUUGUAUGUUGUGUGUAUAUGAACUUAACUCUAACCUAGCAAAACAAUGUUACAUAUAUACAGAAUUUAAAAUAUAAAAUAUAAAUAUAAUACAA